Molecule: ribosomal RNA, 543 nt
Filed under: Tritonoturris amabilis
Lineage: Eukaryota; Metazoa; Mollusca; Gastropoda; Neogastropoda; Raphitomidae
Description: partial 16S ribosomal RNA
Rfam family: Bacterial large subunit ribosomal RNA
Source: RNAcentral
GUUUACCAAAAACAUGGCUUCUUGCAACAUAAAAAUAAAAAGUCUUACCUGCCCAAUGAAGUAAUUUAAAUGGCCGCAGUACCCUGACUGUGCGAAGGUAGCAUAAUAAUUUGCCUUAUAAUUGAAGGCUGGAAUGAAUGGUUUGACAAGGAUAAAACUGUCUCUAUAAGAUUUACUAAAAUUUUAUUUAUAAGUGAAAAAGCUUAUAUUUUAUUAAAAGACAAGAAGACCCUAUCGAGCUUUUAAAAAAUAACAUGAAAUAAUUUUUAUCCUAUGAAAAUUAGGUCAUUUAAAAUUUUGGUUGGGGCAACCUAGGAACAUAUAAAACUUCCUAUCUAACUAAAACCAUUAAGUUAUGAUCCAAAAUUUUUGAUUAAAAGAAAUAGUUACCGUAGGGAUAACAGCAUUAUUUUUUUUGAGAGUUCAUAUCGAAAAAAAAGUUUGUGACCUCGAUGUUGGAUCAAAAUGUCCUAAAAAUGUAGAAGUUUUUAAGGGUUAGUCUGUUCGACUAUUAAAAUUUUACGUGAUCUGAGUUCAGACCGG